GAUGAACGCUGGCGGCGUGCCUAAUACAUGCAAGUCGAGCGAACAGACGAGGAGCUUGCUCCUCUGACGUUAGCGGCGGACGGGUGAGUAACACGUGGAUAACCUACCUAUAAGACUGGGAUAACUUCGGGAAACCGGAGCUAAUACCGGAUAAUAUAUUGAACCGCAUGGUUCAAUAGUGAAAGACGGUUUUGCUGUCACUUAUAGAUGGAUCCUCGCCGCAUUAUCUAGUUGGUAAGGUAACGGCUUACCAAGGCAACGAUGCGUAGCCGACCUGGGAGGGUGAUCGGCAACACUGGAACGGAGACACGGUCCAGACUCCUACGGGAGGCAGCAGUAGGGAAUCUUCCGCAAUGGGCGAAAGCCUGACGGAGCAACGCCGCGUGAGUGAUGAAGGUCUUCGGAUCGUAAAACUCUGUUAUUAGGGAAGAACAAAUGUGUAAGUAACUAUGCACGUCUUGACGGUACCUAAUCAGAAAGCCACGGCUAACUACGUG
RNAcentral lists this ribosomal RNA (497 nucleotides) under uncultured bacterium. RNAcentral's name for it is "partial 16S ribosomal RNA". It matches the Rfam family "Bacterial small subunit ribosomal RNA", at positions 28 to 507 of the family's 1533-position model. The record is from RNAcentral.